RNAcentral lists this long non-coding RNA (522 nucleotides) under Panax ginseng (ginseng). RNAcentral describes it as "long non-coding RNA (PGIN_LNC015066)". Lineage: Eukaryota; Viridiplantae; Streptophyta; Magnoliopsida; Apiales; Araliaceae. The record is from RNAcentral.
UCAAUAGUUGUAAUAUAUCAUAAGUAUAAGUAUGUUAUACAAGCUAAAGAAACCAAGUCUAAACUAUUUUAAACAUUAGACUUGUUGAAAACCACAUUUUAAGCUCAAAAGUGGACUGUUUUGGAUAAUUUUUAGUACCUGAAAUUGUAAGAUGGUAAUGAACUCAUAUAAAGUUGAUAAUGCAUGCUGUUAACGAUUCCUAAUCAUUGCCACGACCAAAGCUAACAGGAAAACCAAGUUACGGUGUAUUUUUCAAACCUAAAGUGAGUAUUGAUAGGACAAAAUUGGCUAGAUGACUAAGUAGAGUGAGAUGAUGAUAAAAGUAACCUUAGGCAACUAAAUUACAUAUGCCUAGACUAUCCUAGUAGCCAAAAUUGAGGAAAAAUGGAAAAGUGUCAAUCAGUUUUUGAAAAAAAAGUUAGAAAACAGGCCAAUUUGAGACACUAUCUUGAGAAGCUUAAAUGAAAUGAAUAAGAAACCUAAACUUUGAUUACAAUACCUUGAUGUAUAUUAUAGAAAAAG